AUAGAGAUGCUUACUGUGAUUGGCCAGCUCUGGCCCUGGCCGUGCCCAGCUCUGGGGCCAUCUUCCAGUGCAGUGUUGGAUCGUGUAAUCGUGAAGCUUCUAACACUGUCUGGUAAAGAUGCCCCCCGGGUUGGUUCUCCCUUCGGUGAC
Molecule: microRNA precursor, 150 nt
Organism: Sarcophilus harrisii (Tasmanian devil)
Lineage: Eukaryota; Metazoa; Chordata; Mammalia; Dasyuromorphia; Dasyuridae
Gene: sha-mir-141
Product: sha-mir-141
Source: Ensembl